This is a small nuclear RNA of Callorhinus ursinus (northern fur seal), 104 nucleotides long. The record is from RefSeq and is a predicted model, not a curated record. NCBI's taxonomy places the organism in Eukaryota, Metazoa, Chordata, Mammalia, Carnivora, Otariidae.
GUGCUCACUUUGACAGCACUUAUACUAAAACUGGAGCAAUACAGAAAUUAGCAUGGCCCCUGUGCAAGGAUGACAUGCACAUUCAUGAAGCAUUCUAUAUUUUU